Molecule: ribosomal RNA, 84 nt
Filed under: Osteocephalus planiceps
Lineage: Eukaryota; Metazoa; Chordata; Amphibia; Anura; Hylidae
Description: partial 16S ribosomal RNA
Source: RNAcentral
UAUACUUCAUGCAAGCCAUAAUUAUUAACUUAUGAUAAAAUCUUAAUAAGUAAUUAAACCAACACUAAACUCAAAAAAAGAGCA